CAUCCUCAUUCGACCCAUCCUGCUGCUAGCCAGGAUAGCAUCUCGAACAAAUCUCAGUCAAGUCCCAGCGUUUCGGAUCAACUCCCCUGUUCAGCCUCCAUCCUUAUCCCAUCAUUAAAGGAUAAAAAGAUAUCGACUCUAUCCCGCAGCCAUUGAUCCAUAUUUAUCUCAACUUGGAACAGGGGAGAGAGGGGGAGGUAUGCAGUCUAUAAAAGGCUCUUCAUGGAAACCAGAGGGGGCAUUCUUCGGAUGGAAGGAUCAGCGAGCUUCUUCCUGUAGCCGAGUUUCCAAAGAAGUCAGAGAGAGAGAGAAGGAGAGAGAAGACGUCGAAGAGAUGGAAGUAGCCGUGAUGGAAGUUCACUACAAUGCUGCUGCCGUCCACAACUAUAUGCAAGGCUGAUCUCCUCUCUAGGGCCGGAUGCAGCCCUAACAAAGGGACACGGGUUUUAUAUUUUAUUUUAUAUUCUUGGGGUUGUAUGAACUUAUUGUUUUCAAUUGAUAUCUUCUUUUGAAUCAUAUUUAAUUUCUGUGAUUUUAAGUAUGAUGUUCGUACAACUGUUCUUCAUGAUCACUAAGUUAAUAGAAGAUCACCCAUGCUUAGGGAAAAUGCAGUGUCCUGCCACAUUAGUUUAGGGUAGACAUUUCAUGCCAACCGAAGAUGGAUGUUCCUAAAUUACUUUUGUGAGAUUUUUAUUUGAAUGCUUA
RNAcentral lists this long non-coding RNA (705 nucleotides) under Phoenix dactylifera (date palm). Its description in RNAcentral is "long non-coding RNA (PDAC_LNC017015)". Lineage: Eukaryota; Viridiplantae; Streptophyta; Magnoliopsida; Arecales; Arecaceae. The record is from RNAcentral.